RNAcentral lists this non-coding RNA (137 nucleotides) under human gut metagenome. The record is from RNAcentral.
GUAUCUUGAUAUUUUGUUCUACACACAGCAAUUCCCCGACACGAUGUCGGGGAAAGGUGCUGCUGAGCCAUGGAUGGCGAAUCAGUACCGUUUGCGUACGUCGCCAGCACACUCUCACAAAAUAUUUAGAUACCCGG